RNAcentral lists this ribosomal RNA (473 nucleotides) under uncultured bacterium. Its description in RNAcentral is "bacterial SSU rRNA". It matches the Rfam family "Bacterial small subunit ribosomal RNA", at positions 335 to 801 of the family's 1533-position model. The record is from RNAcentral.
ACUCCUACGGGAGGCAGCAGUAGGGAAUCUUCCACAAUGGGCGCAAGCCUGAUGGAGCAACACCGCGUGAAUGAAGAAGGGUUUCGGCUCGUAAAGCUCUGUUGUUAAAGAAGAACACGUAUGAGAGUAACUGUUCAUACGUUGACGGUAUUUAACCAGAAAGUCACGGCUAACUACGUGCCAGCAGCCGCGGUAAUACGUAGGUGGCAAGCGUUAUCCGGAUUUAUUGGGCGUAAAGAGAGUGCAGGCGGUUUUCUAAGUCUGAUGUGAAAGCCUUCGGCUUAACCGGAGAAGUGCAUCGGAAACUGGAUAACUUGAGUGCAGAAGAGGGUAGUGGAACUCCAUGUGUAGCGGUGGAAUGCGUAGGUAUAUGGAAGAACACCAGUGGCGAAGGCGGCUACCUGGUCUGCAACUGACGCUGAGACUCGAAAGCAUGGGUAGCGAACAGGAUUAGAUACCCUGGUAGGAUAGCG